CGCCAUUUUGCUUCUACCACCUGGUUCAAAACCGUCCCGGUGGGUUUCUGUACCGACCCAGGAGGUUCUACCGUCCGGUACCGGCUGAGCAGGAGCGGAAAGGACCUGUUUGUUCCGGAGAUCGACCUCCAGCUGCUGGACUGUUUCUGAGAUAAAGACUUUAUUUGUUUUUACAGAUUAAACCGACAGAGAGAGAGAGAGAGAGAGACACCGACGCAGGGAGAGAGAGAGAAAGAGAGACGUAGACGGACAGAGAGAGAGAGAGAGAGAGAGAGGUCAACGUAAACGGACGGAGUUACCGGAUAAUGUCUCGAAAUAACGGACUCAAACCGGGUUUAUUGUCCUUAUUUCACGGUCUGCCUUCGUCUCCGCAGGACCGGGACCGUCGGCCCUGCCGGCCCCGGGUGUGUGGGUGUCCCGGCGGGGCUCGGUAGGACAGCAGCCCGGUUCCCAGCGCUUAUGUUCGGUCACAUUUUAGACGAUAGUGGUGCUUUUUUUUUAACCUUUAUUCACGUGUAUCAGCCUGAGACGUGAUGGGGGCCGCUUUAAUGCAGAAAAGGUAAAAAUAAAGAUUUUUAAAAACACGAAUAACUGCGGUGAGAGACAGGAAACCCUCCCGGAACCAGACAAAGGAUCCGCCAUGAUGGAGCAGCUGCCCAGUCACGGAGGUGAAGACUUCAGUCAUAACCGAGAGUCAGAUUAAACAGAUAAUAACCUGUAUAAAACAAGAUUAAUGUGGACACAGGAGAGGAGGAGCGUGUGUGAGAGUCUUUAUAACAGGAUCUUUAGGAGAGGGAGAGAGGGAGCAGGACUAAACUGUCAGAGGAAGACAAUCUCCGUGUUCCCGCCCUAUAGGAUGUUUCCAUGGUGACGCGUUAAAUCAUAGGGAAACUGACGUCACACGGUACCGCCGACCUCUCGCGGAACGUGACAAUAAAACGUACUGUAACGGUUACAGUUAUGGUUAUAGUAACGGUUACAGCAAGUAAUGGUAACUGUUACAGUUACGGCUGUUGUUACAGACACAGUAAGAGCGAUAAUUACAGUUACAGUAACAAGAUAUAAUUACAGUUACAGUAACAAUAUAAUUACAGUAACAGGUCUAUAAUUCUGGUCAAUAUUAAGUGUCUUCAGAGCAGAUCCACAACCCUCUCUUUAACCGCUGCUUCUUUGUCCAAAGUUAUCGGUUCGAAUGGAGCGACAUGAUCGAGUAUCAAACGUGAACCACAUAUUUUUCUAGUCAUUAAUAAAACUGUUGUCUUGAAUUUAAAUAAAUGUAAAUGUGACAGGCUCUGUUUAUGACAUUUUCCAUUUUCCACGAUAGUCUGAAAAGCACCUCGAAUCUCACUCAAGCUAAUGCUAACAUUAGCUUGUCAGAAGUCAGGAAUGUACGAUUUGACCCGUAGGUUACUGACAUUGUAGUGAAUGAAACGGAAGUGAGAUGACUAAUGAUGUUCAUGAGAAUAAACAUGAAAAUAUACGAGAAAAACACAGAAAAUAUCAGAUUAAUCGUCUCUGCAGACACAGACUGUAACAUUCAGGGGUCAGAAUCAUCGCAGAGGAAUGAAGAGUAUCAAAGUGGGACCAAUCACUGUGAUAGUGGGAAAGUAUGAUAUUUUGGUAGAAUAAACCGGAAAUAUUAGAGGUAGGCAGACAAAAAGUAAAAAUAUGAUAAGUUUAAAAAAAAAUGUAAAAUUGAUCAAAUCUAGAUCAAUAUCUAAAUAUGUGACUGUGGGCACUGAUUUAAUUUUAAAAUAAAUUUAAAAUCCACAUUCAUUCACAAAAUCCAAAGACUUUUUAUUUUGAUUGGAUAAUAAUAUGUGACUCAGUCACUUAUUUAUUUAUUCACUUGUUUAUUAAAUUACAUUUCUGGAUGUGGAACGGCGGCGAAGAAGAGGGUCGUGGAUCUGCUUGGCUCUCCGGCUCUGUACUCACUACUAUUGGACACGUUAAACGACAAGGAAACUGACAUCACACGGUACCGCCGACCUCUCGCAGGACAUGACGAUAAAACGGUUUCAGUAACGGUUUCAGUGAGUAAUGGUAACUGUUACAGUCAUGGCUGUUGUUUAUAUAAACUGUUACAGCAUCUAUUAAAAUAACAACUCUAGCUGUUCACAGCAACUGUUAUAGUUUAGUAACCAUAGUAACGGUUAAAGUAAAUGACAGUUCCAGUCACAGUAUCAGCUGAGGAGGGUUUGAUAGUCUGCUCACACCAACAGUUAGUAUAUUGUGAUGCAGGUGAGUCUUUACUGUGAAAAGGCGUCUGAUGAAGCUCGGUAACGAAAUCGGUGGAUCAUAUUCAGGGUUUGGGGGCCACCAUGUUGGAUCCGAGUCUCUCCUUCACCUCAGUGACGCGAACAUGAGGAACGGACUCAAAGAUGGAACUUUAGCCCUGAGAAUACCUUUACCUGCGAUCAGACAUUAAAAACACCUUCAUCAUCACCUGUGUGUGUGUGUGUGUGUGUGUGUCAGGUGUGUGUGUGUGUGUGUGUGUCAGGUGUGUGUGUGUCUCCGUACCUGUUUGGAUUCUGGUGUGUGGUUCUGUAAAGAUGUUUUAUUUAUUGUUACAUAAAUCCUGAAAUCAGAGCGCAGCAGUGCGAGAGUCAAGAUCAGAAUCUUUGGAGGGCGCCGGACCUCGAGGAGGCGGACCUUUGACAGACUUAUUGAUCUUCAAGGUAACUUGUUUUUAUCACAGAAACAAUCACCAGCUGCUGCCGUAAGAAACCAGACGGAUCAGAAUUAUUCCAGAAUACGCUCUAAUGUUGGGGGUUAUUCUGAAAUAUUGAUCAUGAUUUCAUUGGAGCUUCAUCUAGAAAACUGAAAAUUAAAACAUGAUCAGAAUUAUACGACCCUUCCGGUGACACAUGAACCCUAAAGUAACUGCAGUGUUACCUGUGCAGGUGUGAGUCCCCACUCAGAGGCAGUCCAGGCUAGUUUUACACCUGAGUGGGAACGCAACAUGAGACUCACUCACUCACCGCCGCAGUCACAGAUUGAUCCCCGCUGGCUGACCCCUCCCCCUAACCUUUCUUUUGACAGUGAGUGACACACAACCUUCGUACGUAAGAGGGGCACCAGAGCACCAUGGGAAAAAAACGCCUCUGUCCCUACAGGUAGGAUUAAACACACCUGAUCAGCUGUUAAGGUUACCAUGGUAACACCGACAGCAGAAAUAGGAAAUAGACAGGUAACACUCAGCAACUUCUACUCCACACAGUGGUGUGUGUGUGUGUGUGUGUGUGUGUGUGUGUGUGUGUGUGUGUGUGGUUUAGCCUGCUGACAGAGACUGAACCUCUUACCUGAGCUCAGGUUUGAGCAGGUGAGAAGACUGAGACUGAAAACUCAGGAACCAGACUGUUCAGGGUGAGAGUCAAACUUUUCUGAACCUUCGCUGGUUCACAGGAGCGAGCGCCGGUCUCUCCUGAAGACGCACUUCCUGCUGCAGGUUCAGACGAAACUCUGAGAUCUGUAAAGAUUCUUACCGACUGUGUCAGAACACAUGAUCAAUGACAUACCUGAUCAAUAACAUACCUGAUCAAUAAAACAUAAGUUACCUGAUCAAUGACACAUAUGUUACCUGAUCAAUGACAUACCUGAUCAAUGACAUACCUGAUCAAUAAAACAUAAGUUACCUGAUCAAUGACUCAUUACCGAGCUGAUUAGUGAUUUAUUAAACCACACAAAUGUGAUCAAUAACCUUUAUCAUUGAUCUGGUAUCAGUGAGUGUCUGGGCUGAUCGUGUCGUUCAGGUGUGUCUCACCUGGAUCUUACCUGCUCCGUACAGGUGAGACGGAUCUUUGAGGCCCUGCAGCGGUCAUGUGACCAGAGUCUGGUCAUGAAGGUCACAUGAUGAAUCCAGAUCGUCGCCAGCUCGCUGUGGUCACAUGAUCACACCAGUGUUUCCCUCGGCGCCAGAUCAUCAGUCUAACAUGUUCAGAUUUAAAGGACUGUGAUCAUGUGACCACAGCGGCUCUUAAAGGGGCAGUUCACCGUUUUUACCGUGUUUGUCACCUACAGAGGAUCCUGCUCAGCUCCGCCCCUUUAACCACGAACUGGUCAGUGCUUCAGGAUGUCUUUAUUUGGGCCACAGGGCACUGGUCCCGAAAGUCUAGGGGCCCUAAACUAAAGUGUAGGGGCCCUAAAGUAAAGUGUAGGGGCCCUACAGUAAAGUGUAGGGGCCCUAAACUAAAGUGUAGGGGCCCUAAAGUAAAGUGUAGGGGCCCUAAACUAAAGUGUAGGGGCCCUACAGUGAAGUGUAGGGGCCCUAAAGUAAAGUGUAGGGGCCCUAAAGUAAAGUGUAGGGGCCCUAAACUAAAGUGUAGGGGCCCUAAAGUAAAAUGUCGGGGCCCUAAACUAAAGUGUAGGGGCCCUACAGUAAAGCGUAGGGGCCGGUGCCUCAGGUUAUUCCGUAGAUUGUUUCUAAUUUUUCUUCCAGACAAACUCAGAUCGGCUCUCAGUCCUGCAGCUUCAAGAAUUGUGGGAAUAAUGAAAUAUGAAAAUGUUUAAUUGAACUCUGUGUUUUUGUUUUUUUUUCUCUAUUGUCUGAAUUUUUUGUAAAUAAGUGGAAAAAUGUUCCUCUUCAGGUCGGCGGGACGAGCCAAAACUAAAAAGAGUGAUUAUUGGAGUUUUCCAAACGUCUGUCGAUCCGUUUUUUUUUUCUGUUGUAAAAAUAAAAACUUGAAGCUGGACUGUUUGUUGUCGGUGUGCUCCUUUAAAAAAGAUUACAAAGCUGCCAAUAUUAAAGUUAUUGAUUAUUAGAAUGUUCUGAAGAACCUCAUCGUUAUGUUCUCGCUCUGACAGGAACCUUCCAAAAUCACCCAGAGGAG
Molecule: long non-coding RNA, 4829 nt
Filed under: Xyrichtys novacula (pearly razorfish)
Lineage: Eukaryota; Metazoa; Chordata; Actinopteri; Labriformes; Labridae
Source: RNAcentral